AUGGCGGCGGCGGCGCUGCGGGGGAUCGGCGCGAAGCUAUCGGCGAACCCGGAGAAGGUGACGAGCGCGCUGCUGCUGGGCUCGUUCGUGGCGCUGGCGUUCCGGUCGUCGGAGCAGCAGGGCGAGAUCGACGAGCUGGAGGCCCGCAAGUCCUCCCUCCGCGCCGCCAACUCCGCCAUGUCCUCCACCAUGUGGGCCUGGAGGGAGGAGCUGGUCAAGCUCGCCGCCAUGCCCUCCCCGCCCAUCACCGCCGCCCGCCUCCGCCACAUCUACGGCGAGGAGGACCUCGCCGUCCCGGCGCCCAAGCCGUCAGGCCCUGAUGCCGAGGAGGAACAUGUUCCCCUAAAAAUAACAUGA
RNAcentral lists this ribosomal RNA (357 nucleotides) under Triticum aestivum (bread wheat). RNAcentral describes it as "partial small subunit ribosomal RNA". The record is from RNAcentral. Lineage: Eukaryota; Viridiplantae; Streptophyta; Magnoliopsida; Poales; Poaceae.